Molecule: unclassified non-coding RNA, 348 nt
Filed under: soil metagenome
Description: partial contains 5.8S ribosomal RNA, internal transcribed spacer 2, and large subunit ribosomal RNA
Rfam family: 5.8S ribosomal RNA (bases 1-120)
Source: RNAcentral
GAUGAAGAACGCAGCGAAAUGCGAUAAGUAAUGUGAAUUGUAGAAUUCAGUGAAUCAUCGAAUCUUUGAACGCACAUUGCGCCCGCCAGUAUUCUGGCGGGCAUGCCUGUCUGAGCGUCAUUUCAACCCUCAUGCCCCUAGGGCGUGGUGUUGGGGAUCGGCCAAAGCCCGCGAGGGACGGCCGGCCCCUAAAUCUAGUGGCGGACCCGUCGUGGCCUCCUCUGCGAAGUAGUGAUAUUCCGCAUCGGAGAGCGACGAGCCCCUGCCGUUAAACCCCCAACUUUCCAAGGUUGACCUCAGAUCAGGUAGGAAUACCCGCUGAACUUAAGCAUAUCAAUAAGCGGAGGA